UAAAGACUCAAAUCGUGCUUCACUAGUUUUUCUUGACAGCAGAGAUGUCAAUAGUGGGAUGACCAGUAAAUAAAAAGACUUGACCUUUGCUUUUUCGGGCAGUCCUUUCUUUGCUUUGCAUUGAGCCGUUAGAGUCAAUGUAUGUACGAUAUUUAUCUGAACAUAUCCUAAAGAGCCUCAGGGCUUGGUUUCAUUCUCUAUGCAGUCUUAGCUGCAAGAGCCAUAUUCAUAUCAGAGGUGGCUUUGAUGCCCAGGCAACCAGAUGAAUCUUAUUUCGAUUACCUUCUUUUCCCCACAAGAAAUUCCUAUUUUCCUUGUCAAUAGCUUCAGCGAUAGACAAAGGAAGCUUUUUAGUCUGCAUAAUCGAGUUCGGGAGAGCUGAAGUUACAGAUUUAACCAGUGUAGCACGCCCUGCCAAAGAUAACAGGAUACUUUUCCAUCCCGAAAGUUUUUCCAGAACUUGAUUUUAGGUAUCUUUGGUCACUCUCUCAUGAAUAACCGGGACUCCCAGAUAGUUCCCACGAUUUUUAGUAAGAGGAAUUUGGUAAAUAUUCCUAAUAUAUCUUAGGACAUUAUUGGGAUUUAGGGGAAAAGAAAAAGCUUCGAUUUACUAGGCUACGCUCCUUCUGCCCAGACCAACUUUCAAAAGCUUCAAGACACUCCAUAAUAAUCUCUGCUUGUUCACAAGUGGCUUCGCCAAAAAGGACCAAGCAAGAAAACAAAACUAAAGCUAUAAAGCCUAUAGCGUUAGCUAUGGAGUUUGAUUGCUGGGAAAGGAUGGAAUCGUGGAAUGGAUUUGAGUUAGAACUGUUCCUUAAGCUAAGGUAACUCCAGGAUAAAGGGACGAAGUGGCCUACUAGGGUUUUCUUAGGACUCUAAGAAUAAGAAUAGCUUCUUCAUUCAACUUUCCUUUUUCCUUGAAAGGAAGAGUUGUCUUAGAUCAAUGAAGGAGAAGGAAGAGGGCGCAGGAGAUUCGAUUCAGUCAGCUUGGUUCUUUACUUUGCCAUUUCAAAAAGCACUAUUCAAGUGAAGUGAAGUGCAAGAUCCAUGACCCGACCGCUUAGCCUCUGUAGGGGGAAGAUCAUACCGGAAUGAAAUUCUGCCUUUAAAGAAGGACUUUCAGGUAAGCAUGCAUAGCUUGAUGGGAAAGAGAAUAGAAGGAAAAGGUCCAAUUAUAGUAUAAGUAUCCCUAUAUCCAUCUGUCUUGCAUUGCUUUGCUUCACUGGAGCUUAUAUAAAGCGGCGAUACGAAGAAUAGAGAGAAUCCGUCUGUCUUUAUAGUGCAGAUGGACUGACUUUACUACCAUCAAAGCUUCCGGUUCUAUUCCUUUUUGUUUGAAGUAAAGGCUUGUUAUCGACGAAUAAAUAAGCUCUUUCUACUUUGCCCUAAAAGCUCGUCCUAAGUAAAGCAGUUUUCACUCGAGAAGAUAGCUUAAGUUAUAGUUAUCACAGCUAAAGCGAUAGCAACUCAUGAACGAAGUGCUCGACCAAACAAGCAACGGAUUGAUUAAGCGCACUAGCGCGAAAGCCUAUUCGUCUAAGGGCGUUAGGCUCGCGCAGGAGUUUGAUUGCUGGGAGAGGAAGGAACGAUCUCUCAAAUUGGAUUCGGAGUCGGGUGACUAGUGGUGCGGUGGACAAAGGCCAGUCACUGAACACCAACCCAAUCGAGAUGAGAAUCAGUACACGGAACUCGAUCAAUCCACGAAGGGUUCACCCUCUGCUAGCAGCUUUCUUCUCUUACGAUAUCUCGACGUCGCAUCAACAGGAAAGAGCCAAGCAAGGGUUACGAGAGAGCAGCUUCUAUUGUAUCAAGCACUGGAUACGAUCAUAGCAACAAGACCAGAAAGACCGGCAACAGCAGCUACUUUUCUUUUUCUUAUUCUACGAUAAAGACCACCAAAUUCAACUUCCUUCUUGCUUAAGGAACCUAGUUCGGAUGGAAAGCCUUCUUAGGCAGGUGGCCUAGCUAAGAUAAGACAGCUAUGAAAUCCCUUGCCCCUUUCUAACUCUAACUACUGGCACUAAUGCUUGGCUUUCCGCUUAAUAGUCACUCUGGAGUUUUCUUAAGA
Molecule: unclassified non-coding RNA, 2068 nt
Filed under: Hevea brasiliensis (rubber tree)
Lineage: Eukaryota; Viridiplantae; Streptophyta; Magnoliopsida; Malpighiales; Euphorbiaceae
Source: RNAcentral